Molecule: transfer RNA, 83 nt
Organism: Aspergillus terreus NIH2624
Lineage: Eukaryota; Fungi; Ascomycota; Eurotiomycetes; Eurotiales; Aspergillaceae
Rfam family: tRNA
About the family: Transfer RNA (tRNA) molecules are approximately 80 nucleotides in length. Their secondary structure includes four short double-helical elements and three loops (D, anti-codon, and T loops).
Source: Rfam
GGGUCGAUAGAUCAGUGGUAGAUCGAGAGAUUGCAGUGUACUGAAUCAUCUCCAGGUCGUGGGUUCGAUCCCCACUCGGCCCU